Long non-coding RNA from Trichomycterus rosablanca, 278 nucleotides. RefSeq lists it as uncharacterized. NCBI's taxonomy places the organism in Eukaryota, Metazoa, Chordata, Actinopteri, Siluriformes, Trichomycteridae. The transcript has 3 exons. The record is from RefSeq and is a predicted model, not a curated record.
GCAGAGCUUCAGAACUCAGAGUCUUCACUAUAUGAUCACGGCAAAUAAAAACAUCUCCUCCACCACACAAGGCACUGUGCCCUCUUCUGCCAACAUGGAUGUACUAUGGAUCUGCCAGGGACCAGAUGGCCAGGAAAAGGAAACUGCUGCAUCCUCUAGAUGGCAGCACAGGAAAAGGGUAGAAGUUUAGGAAGAAAAUCCGUUCUGAUGAUCUGCUGCUGUACUGCAUCUAGUUUAUUCGAGUGUUCUGCUCCAGUAUAAACACACUUAACCUCUUA